GAAAGAAAGAAAGAAAGAAAGAAAGAAAGAAAGAAAGAAAGAAAGAAAGAAAGAAUUUAAAAAGAGGAAAAAAAAAAAAAAAAAAAAAAAAAAAAAGAUCGACCAGAGCAUGCUGGGAACAGAGGAGACCUCAGGUUUUUGGCCUGGGAGAGCGUCUGCGGGGCUGGACUCGUGCCUUGUGCCCGGCCCCAGAGGCACCGCACCUGCCGAGGCGGGGCGGGUGCCAGCGGCGGAGGCAACGCGAGGUGUCCGCCGGAGGGGGAGGAACGCCCCGGCCCGCCCGACUUGAAAAGCCUCCACGUUCCCAUCGCUUUUUCAAUCCGCAAUACAUUUCACACCCUGUUAGGAGUUACUGCCGCCGAAACCGCUAAACGCUUCCAUGACUGCAGCAUUAUUUGCAGGGUACAGAACUCAGGAGAAGUUGUAGGGGAGAGGAGAGGGCAUUCAAAAAACAGACCAUUACUUCAUAGAUCUUUACAAGACCCGAACAGGCCCACAUCUGGACUGAGGAGCGGAGAUGAUGGAGAGCGAGGAAUCGGCUGCAAGCAGCCUGCUUCACAGGCACUCCUGGAUGGGUCACCCCAUGCCUGCGAGCAAUGGGUCAGGGCAGUGCUGUCAAUAACAUGGUGUUGUAUGUAAAGCUGGGAGCACAGAGUCCCACACCGUUGUAUGUGCUCAGCAAAGCUCCCAUUUGCCUCCAGGAGAAUUCUGCCUAUGUAAGGACUUAAGAGCCAUUGCUAGGAGCUAAGAAAAGAGCAUUAUUAAUUCACUUCAUCGCUGGCUCAGUGAAAGCCAACAGCUUUCUGCAGUCUUGCCAAAAUGAAGAGGAGAUGGUCUGAGGUACAUGCAGGGUGAUUUUCAUACCGAAGGUGAGAAAGGAGAAAUCGUUUUAAGGUACGGUAACUUGCCGUACAAACGUGAUCUGUGUUCCCUCCCAGCUUUGAAAGGAGACUUUAUAAACUCUGUGGCCUUUGAUUUGUUAAGGCAACCUUAUACUUAUUUUUUUUAAUUCCCAAGUUUGUGAGAAAAUAGAAAGGAACCCUUGAUGUUCUUAUGCUCUCGAUUAUCACUUCAUUGUAGAAGUAUUUGCUUAAUGAAACAUACAGCAAAUAUUGCACUGUAAAACCUGUUGCAAUGUACUCAAUAUCUUUUGGAAUUAAUAGAAAAAAAAAUACAAGACUGCAGAAAAGGCACUAAUUUUUAUUUUAUCUAAUAAAAAUGUUACUUGACUGCAAAGCACUUUGCUUUAUUUUCUCACUUAUAUUGUAUAUAUUUGAAGAGAAAUGUCUGCUGCACGUCAUCUAUCUAACACAAAAAACUGAUGCUGUUAUUAAUAAGUUACAGAGAAAAAUAAACCAGUUUGCACUUUGAUUUUUAUCAUUCCUAGUGAGCGAUUCCUUUGGAAUAAACAUAACUCUAACACAUGUAAACAACACAGGAAAUUAAUAACAAAAUUCUUUGGAUUUAUUUCAGAUGCCACAUACUUUAUGUAAAUAUAUGCGGCUUUCAAUUUCAAUGAUUUUCCAGUAAGUAAUAAACUUUGCUCAUUAACCUCCUUUUAAACUAAACAUUUAUUACUUUAUAAGUGUUAUUUCAACUAAAUCAAGUGGAUAUGCUCAGUAAAUGAAUGCAACAAAUCUGCUCAGCCAGAGAAGCAGGAUAGCUUCUUUUCAGCUGGGCAUACUGUGAGUUUCUUCUUCAGCUUCAAGGGAGUGGGAUGCAGCUUAAUUUGCUGAUUUUUCAUGUUAAAAAAAAAGAAAAAAAAAAAGGUUGGUAAUACAUAUAUAUUUUAAAAUAAACCUACUUUUUCCUCAUUAGCUCAGUGGUAGAAAACGGGAAAAAUUCCACAAGCUGAAUGAAGUUACAUAUCAUCUCAG
Molecule: long non-coding RNA, 1877 nt
Filed under: Gallus gallus (chicken)
Lineage: Eukaryota; Metazoa; Chordata; Aves; Galliformes; Phasianidae
Description: lncRNA (ENSGALG00010004828.1)
Source: RNAcentral